RNAcentral lists this ribosomal RNA (475 nucleotides) under uncultured bacterium. Its description in RNAcentral is "bacterial SSU rRNA". It matches the Rfam family "Bacterial small subunit ribosomal RNA", at positions 29 to 524 of the family's 1533-position model. The record is from RNAcentral.
AUUGAACGCUGGCGGAAUGCUUUACACAUGCAAGUCGAGCGGCAGCGCGGGGCAACCUGGCGGCGAGCGGCGAACGGGUGAGUAACAUAUCGGAACAUACCCAGUCGUGGGGGAUAACACAGCGAAAGUUGUGCUAAUACCGCAUACGUCCUGAGGGAGAAAGCGGGGGAUCGCAAGACCUCGCGCGAUUGGAGUGGCCGAUAUCGGAUUAGCUAGUUGGUGAGGUAAAGGCUCACCAAGGCGACGAUCCGUAGCUGGUCUGAGAGGACGACCAGCCACACUGGAACUGAGACACGGUCCAGACUCCUACGGGAGGCAGCAGUGGGGAAUAUUGGACAAUGGGCGAAAGCCUGAUCCAGCCAUGCCGCGUGAGUGAUGAAGGCCUUAGGGUUGUAAAGCUCUUUCGCCAGGGAAGAUAAAUGACGGUACCUGGAAAAGAAGCCUCGGCUAACUCCGUGCCAGCAGCCGCGGUAAU